CAGCCGCCACGGUAAUACGUAGGGUGCAAGCGUUAAUCGGAAUUACUGGGCGUAAAGCGUGCGCAGGCGGUUUUGUAAGACAGGCGUGAAAUCCCCGGGCUCAACCUGGGAAUGGCGCUUGUGACUGCAAAGCUAGAGUGCGGCAGAGGGGGAUGGAAUUCCGCGUGUAGCAGUGAAAUGCGUAGAUAUGCGGAGGAACACCGAUGGCGAAGGCAAUCCCCUGGGCCUGCACUGACGCUCAUGCACGAAAGCGUGGGGAGCAAACAGGAUUAGAUACCCGGGUAGUCCCUGUCUCUUAUAC
Molecule: ribosomal RNA, 301 nt
Filed under: uncultured bacterium
Lineage: Bacteria
Description: partial 16S ribosomal RNA
Rfam family: Bacterial small subunit ribosomal RNA
Source: RNAcentral